RNAcentral lists this long non-coding RNA (264 nucleotides) under Physcomitrium patens. RNAcentral describes it as "long non-coding RNA (PPAT_LNC001018)". The record is from RNAcentral. Lineage: Eukaryota; Viridiplantae; Streptophyta; Bryopsida; Funariales; Funariaceae.
UUGAUUUAGGAUUUAGGAUUUGAUUUAGGAUUAGGAUUUGGUUAGUGUUUGAUUUAGGGUUUAGGAUUUGAUUAGGAUUUAAUUUAGGAUUUAAGAUUUGAUUUAGGAUUUAGAAUUUGGUUAGGAUUUGAUUUAGGAUUAGAGUUUGGUUAGGAGUUGAUUUAGAGUUUAGGAUUCGAUUGGAAUUUGAUUUAGGGUUUAAGGUUUUAUUAGGAUUUGUUUAGGAUUUAAGAUUUAGUUAAUUUUUGGCCUAAAGUUUGAAUG